This 460-nucleotide ribosomal RNA is filed under the name uncultured bacterium. RNAcentral describes it as "partial 16S ribosomal RNA". It matches the Rfam family "Bacterial small subunit ribosomal RNA", at positions 338 to 795 of the family's 1533-position model. The record is from RNAcentral.
CCUACGGGUGGCAGCAGUGAGGAAUAUUGGUCAAUGGGCGAGAGCCUGAACCAGCCAAGUCGCGUGAAGGAUGACGGCCCUACGGGUUGUAAACUUCUUUUGUCAGGGAGCAAUUGGGUCCACGCGUGGGCUUAGCGAGAGUACCUGAAGAAAAAGCAGCGGCUAACGCCGUGCCAGCAGCCGCGGUAAUACGGAGGAUGCGUGCGUUAUCCGGAUUUAUUGGGUUUAAAGGGUGACUAGGUGGAACAUCAGGUCGGCGGUAAAAUUUCGGGGCUAAACCCCGUCGUGCCGUUGAAACUGGUGUUCUUGAGUAGGCGAGAAGUAUGCGGAAUGCGUGGUGUAGCGGUGAAAUGCAUAGAUAUCACGCAGAACCCCGAUUGCGAAGGCAGCCUGCCAAGCCAUGACUGACGCUGAUGCACGAAAGCGUGGGGAUCAAACAGGAUUAGAUACCCGUGUAGUC